GAUCAACGCUGGCGGCGUGCCUAAUUCAUGCAAGUCGAGCGAACGGACGAGAAGCUUGCUUCUCUGAUGUUAGCGGCGGACGGGUGAGUAACACGUGGAUAACCUACCUAUACGCCUGGGAUAACUUCGGGAAACCGGAGCUAAUACCGGAUAAUAUUUUGAACCGCAUGGUUCAAAAGUGAAAGCCGGUCUUGCUGUCACUUAUAGAUGGAUCCGCGCUGCAUUAGCUAGUUGGUAAGGUAACGGCUUACCAAGGCAACGAUGCAUAGCCGACCUGAGAGGAUGAUCGGCCACACUGGAACUGAGACACGGUCCAGACUCCUACGGGAGGCAGCAGUAGGGAAUCUUCCGCAAUGGGCGAAAGCCUGACGGAGCAACGCCGCGUGAGUGAUGAAGGUCUUCGGAUCGUAAAACUCUGUUAUUAGGGAAGAACAUAUGUGUAAGUAACUGUGCACAUCUUGACGGUACCUAAUCAGAAAGCCACGGCUAGCGACGUG
Molecule: ribosomal RNA, 497 nt
Filed under: uncultured bacterium
Lineage: Bacteria
Description: partial 16S ribosomal RNA
Rfam family: Bacterial small subunit ribosomal RNA
Source: RNAcentral